This 231-nucleotide ribosomal RNA is filed under the name uncultured bacterium. Its description in RNAcentral is "partial 16S ribosomal RNA". It matches the Rfam family "Bacterial small subunit ribosomal RNA", at positions 109 to 334 of the family's 1533-position model. The record is from RNAcentral.
AGUAACACGUGGGUAACCUGCCCCAAUGAUUGGGACAACCCGAGGAAACUCGGGCUAAUACCAAAUGUGCUCCUGGCCCAUCAGGGUCUUGAGGAAAGGUAGCUUCGGCUUCCGCAUUGGGAUGGGCCCGCGGCCCAUUAGCUUGUUGGUGGGGUAAUGGCCUACCAAGGCGACGAUGGGUAGCUGGUCUGAGAGGACGAUCAGCCACACUGGGACUGAGACACGGCCCAG